GACAGAGGGUGCAACCGUUGUUCGGAAUUACUGGGCGUAAAGCGCAUGUAGGCGGCUCGGCAAGUCGGAUGUGAAAGCCCAGGGCUCAACCCUGGAAGUGCACUCGAAACUCCCGAGCUGGAGUCCCGGAGAGGAAGGCGGAAUUCUCGGUGUAGAGGUGAAAUUCGUAGAUAUCGAGAGGAACCCCUGUGGCGAAGGCGGCCUUCUGGACGGUGACUGACGCUGAGGCACGAAGGUCAGGGGAGCAAACGGG
RNAcentral lists this ribosomal RNA (253 nucleotides) under uncultured bacterium. RNAcentral describes it as "partial 16S ribosomal RNA". It matches the Rfam family "Bacterial small subunit ribosomal RNA", at positions 524 to 776 of the family's 1533-position model. The record is from RNAcentral.